CAACUUGAGAGUUUGAUCCUGGCUCAGAACGAACGCUGGCGGCAGGCUUAACACAUGCAAGUCGAGCGGGCCCUUCGGGGUCAGCGGCGGACGGGUGAGUAACGCGUGGGAACGUGCCUUUCGCUACGGAAUAGCCUCUGGAAACGGAGAUUAAUGCCGUAUACGCCCGAGAGGGGAAAGAUUUAUCGGCGAGAGAUCGGCCCGCGUUGGAUUAGGUAGUUGGUGGGGUAAUGGCCUACCAAGCCGACGAUCCAUAGCUGGUUUGAGAGGAUGAUCAGCCACACUGGGACUGAGACACGGCCCAGACUCCUACGGGAG
RNAcentral lists this ribosomal RNA (318 nucleotides) under Amaricoccus sp. RNAcentral describes it as "bacterial SSU rRNA". It matches the Rfam family "Bacterial small subunit ribosomal RNA", at positions 1 to 347 of the family's 1533-position model. Lineage: Bacteria; Pseudomonadati; Pseudomonadota; Alphaproteobacteria; Rhodobacterales; Paracoccaceae. The record is from RNAcentral.